UUGGAGGGCAAGUCUGGUGCCAGCAGCCGCGGUAGUUCCAGCUCCAAUAGCGUAUAUUAAAGUUGCUGCAGUUAAAAAGCUCGUAGUUGAAUUUCGAGACCAUCAUGUCGGUCGUGCUUCGGUACGUACUGGUAUUGUUGGUUUCUCCCUUCUGACGAACCAUGAUGUCAUUUAUUUGGUGUUGUGGGAAAUCAGGACUGUUACUUUGAAAAAAUUAGAGUGUUUAAAGCAGGCUCACGCUUGAAUACAUUAGCAUGGAAUAAUGAAAUAGGACGUUUGAUUCUAUUUUGUUGGUUUCUAGGAUCGACGUAAUGAUUAAUAGGGAUAGUUGGGGGCAUUAGUAUUCAAUUGUCAGAGGUGAAAUUCUUGGAUUUAUUGAAGACUAACUACUGCGAAAGCAUUUGCCAAGGAUGUUUUCAUUAAUCAAGAACGAAAGUUAGGGGAUCGAAGACGAUCAGAUACCGUCGUAGUCUUAACCAUAAACUAUGCCGACUAGGGACCGGAUGAUGUUAAUUUUUUAAUGACUCAUUCGGCGCCUUACGGGAAACCAAAGUGUUUGGGUUC
This 564-nucleotide ribosomal RNA is filed under the name uncultured Glomeromycotina. RNAcentral's name for it is "SSU rRNA". It matches the Rfam family "Eukaryotic small subunit ribosomal RNA", at positions 548 to 1114 of the family's 1831-position model. Lineage: Eukaryota; Fungi; Glomeromycota. The record is from RNAcentral.